GAAGAGUGGGCAUGUGCAAAGGCCCUGGGGUAUGAAAAGGUGUGGCACGUUUGGGGAAGGGAAAGAAGGCUGGAGUGUUUGGAGGUGGGAGAAGGAGAUCAGAGAGCCGGGCAGAGGCCAGAUCACAGAGGCCUCAUCAUGACCUGUCAUGGCAAGAAGUUUGAAGGUCUCCCCAAUCCAGUGAGAAGCCACUAAAGGGCUUGAAGCAGCAGAGGAUUCAAUUUACGUUUUUAAAAGACUGGUCUGGCUGCUGUUUGGAAACGUAUCUUUGAGAGAAAAGCCAAGACACAAGGAGACAAAUACCAUUGAUGAACACGGCUUUGCUCCAGGUGGCAGCUGUAGGUCUGAGACGAAGUUGAAAGCCAAGUCCCAGAGGACCAGAGGACCGGCUGUGAGCUGGAUGUACAGUGUCCUAACCUUGCUGAAGUAUUCUCUCCCUCAGCAUAGAGUCAGCUGUCCUUUCCAGAGAGCUUGUUGCUAAAGGAAAUUUCCAGUGGAUUCUCGGUCCCUUCUCCUCUGGGCUACCAAAGUCAUCGCUUUCCACAGGGCAGACUGGGAAGUAGGCUGCGGUCGUUGCUGAUGAGGGAGUUGUUUGCCUUCUCAAUGUUGACGUCAUCUCCCACGCAGAACACAUCGCAGGCUGCCUGUGGCACACACAGGGCUUCCGGUGACCUCUU
Molecule: long non-coding RNA, 677 nt
Organism: Neofelis nebulosa (Clouded leopard)
Lineage: Eukaryota; Metazoa; Chordata; Mammalia; Carnivora; Felidae
Exons: 4
Source: RefSeq, a predicted model, not a curated record